CUCAACCUCGGAAGGCCUUUGGAUACUGUCUGGCUUGAGUUCGUGAGAGGAAGGCGGAAUUCAGGGUGUAGCGGUGAAAUGCUUAGAUAUCCUGAGGAACACCAAUGGCGAAAGCAGCCUUCUGGCACGAAACUGACGCUGAGGCCCGAAAGCGUGGGUAGCGAACAGGAUUAGAUACCCUGGUAGUCCACGCCGUAAACGUUGUGCACUAGGUGUAGGAGGUAUCGACCCCUUCUGUGCCGCAGCUAACGCAUUAAGUGCACCGCCUGGGGAGUACGCGCGCAAGCGUGAAACUCAAAGGAAUUGACGGGGGCCCGCACAAGCGGUGGAGCAUGUGGUUUAAUUCGAGGCAACGCGAAGAACCUUACCCGGACUUGACAUCCCGCGCUACCUGUGGAAACACAGGGUUCCCUUCGGGGACGC
Molecule: ribosomal RNA, 423 nt
Filed under: uncultured bacterium
Lineage: Bacteria
Description: bacterial SSU rRNA
Rfam family: Bacterial small subunit ribosomal RNA
Source: RNAcentral